Molecule: ribosomal RNA, 460 nt
Filed under: uncultured bacterium
Lineage: Bacteria
Description: partial 16S ribosomal RNA
Rfam family: Bacterial small subunit ribosomal RNA
Source: RNAcentral
CCUACGGGAGGCAGCAGUGAGGAAUAUUGGUCAAUGGGCGCUAGCCUGAACCAGCCAAGUAGCGUGAAGGAUGACUGCCCUAUGGGUUGUAAACUUCUUUUAUCUGGGAGUAAAGUACAGUAUGUAUACUGCUUUGCAUAGACCUUGUGAAUAAGGAUCGGCUAACUCCGUGCCAGCAGCCGCGGUAAUACGGAGGAUCCGGGCGUUAUCCGGGUUUAGUGGGUUUAAAGGGAGCGUAGGCGGGUUGUUAAGUCAGUUGUGAAAGAUUGCGGCUCAACCGCAAACUUGCAGUUGAUACUGGCAUUCUUGAGUAAAGUAGAGGUAGGCGGAAUGCGUGGUGUAGCGGUGAAAUGCUUAGAUAUCACGAAGAACUCCGAUUGCGAAGGCAGCCUGCCGGACUGUAACUGACGCUGAAGCUCGAAAGUGUGGGUAUCAAACAGGAUUAGAUACCCGAGUAGUC